CACUCUAUUGCUGAGAAGCUGAUCAAACUNGGUCAUUUAGAGGAAGUAAAAGUCGUAACAAGGUUUCCGUAGGUGAACCUGCGGAAGGAUCAUUAUCGAAUAAGCUUGGUUGGGUUGUUGCUGGCUCUUUUAGAGUAUGUGCACGCCUGACAACCAACUUUAUUACCACCUGUGCACCCUUUGUAGACCUGGAAUACCUCUCGAGGGAGGACUGCUGUGCGCAAGGCAGCUUGCAUUUCAGGUCUAUGUUUUUAUACACACCAAGUAUGUUACAGAAUGUUUAUUUAAACGAGGCUUAAUUGCCUUUGAAACUUUAUACAACUUUCAACAACGGAUCUCUUGGCUCUCGCAUCGAUGAAGAACGCAGCGAAAUGCGAUAAGUAAUGUGAAUUGCAGAAUUCAGUGAAUCAUCGAAUCUUUGAACGCACCUUGCGCUCCUUGGUAUUCCGAGGAGCAUGCCUGUUUGAGUGUCAUGAAAUUCUCAACCUUUUCAAUUUUUCUUUCAAAGUUGAUAAGGCUUGGAUAGUGGGAGUGUUUGCCGGCUUCUCAGAGGUCUGCUCUCCUUAAAUGUAUUAGCAGAGGAUCCUUGUAAUGCUUUGGUGUGAUAAUUAUCUACGCCAUAACAUGACAGGUGGAUAUACUGCUUCCAAUUGUCUCUAUCAUGAGACCUCUUUGACAAUUUGACCUCAAAUCAGGUAGGACUACCCGCUGAACUUAAGCAUAUCAAUAAGCGGAGGAAAAGAAACUAACAAGGAUUCCCCUAGUAACUGCGAGUGAAGCGGGAAAAGCUCAAAUUUAAAAUCUGAGAGUCCAUUGUGGCCCUCCGAGUUGUAAUCUAGAGAAGUGCUAUCCGCGCUGGACCGUGUACAAGUCUCCU
This 877-nucleotide ribosomal RNA is filed under the name Tricholoma sp. RT-2012. Its description in RNAcentral is "eukaryotic LSU rRNA". The stretch from base 320 to 473 matches the Rfam family "5.8S ribosomal RNA". Lineage: Eukaryota; Fungi; Basidiomycota; Agaricomycetes; Agaricales; Tricholomataceae. The record is from RNAcentral.